AAAGAAUUUACUUCCUUGUGAGGGAUUGGUAUUUACCUGUAGUAAGUGUAUCGUUUAGACGAAUGGAUUUGUAUUUUCAUUCAUUUCAAAACACAUUUCUACAACAUUGAUUCGUAAAUAAUGAAGAUAAUAAAACAGAUUAUGAUAGGGACUGGUAGUGCUAGUUUUCUGAUGGUCAUUAUUGGAUUUGUAACACCAGGAUGGCUUAUCGUUAACGUUGAUUUGCCAAAAAUGCAGGAGCAGGAAAUGAAGAAACAACCUGUUUGGAUGCAGAAACAAUAUAAGGAAAGAUUAGCCCUUAUGAAAAAGGACCCAAACAAACCUGAUAUGCAAGAUUUAAGAAUAACAUUUGGACCAUUUUAUAUGCGAUACUGCAUGACGAUGAAAAUUGGAACGAUUUCUACUGAUAUAUGUGUAAUGAUGUCAUCAGGCAAUGCCAUAGAUUUGUUGAAAACUACAAUGCGAAAUAAUAAUUCAGCUAUGCAAAUGGUGGAGGAACUGCACAAAAAUGGAAUCAAUAUAUCGAUAGAAUCAAUGAUUAAUAUUUGUAUAGCCAUAAUUGUUGUUUGCUCACUAACUUUGAUACAGUCAUUUGUCUCCUUGGUUUUGACCUUAGUGUACAGCUGUAAACGGUAUCCACGAAAAAUACUUGGAGUUGUUGGUAGUAUCUCCUUAAUUCUUUCAGGUACAAUCACUUUCCUCUUUGUAAUCAUAUAUUUAAUAAUGAAUGGACAGUACACGAAUGUGUUAACUGCACAACAUCUUGAAGACGCUUUGGAUUUAGGGUUUCCUUACUCGCCUGUAUUAUGUAUGUUGGGAUCUAUCAUGUAUUUUGUUUGUGCCGGCAUACUUAUUAAUUUGACAAAGAACUCAAAAGGACAGUAUAACUAUGAGAUGAUGGUUAUUGAUACGUCAACGGGUGGUAGUACGUAUAUUGCAAAGACAUGAAUUGUUAUGGUUUUUUUUAACUUUUGUAGUUUCUGAAGUUUUUUUUUAAACAUUUCAACUCAUAUUAUAUAUGAACGAGGAAAUAAGUAUCUACCUAUACCUAUUAUGUUUGUGAUAUUGUUUAUGUUAAAAGUGUGAUCAACGCUCAAACAAAGGUAAAAGAUAUAUGAAAAAAGGAAAGGAGUUAAGUAACUAUUUAAUACAGGGUUGAUACGAAGAGGGAUGUGCGCCGAUUAAGAAAAAAAGGAAAACGGAUAGGUUUUUCAUAACAAAAAUGCAAAAUAUGAAAAUGUAUGUCAGUUUUUAAAUCUUAAGCCUUUCCAAUGAACUUCAUGACUUGUGGUUAUGAAGUAGCAUAUUUUUAAUGAGCAGCAUGCUAUUGUUAAUCAUUUUAUUAAUAUUAAAUAUAAUGAUUUAUAUUAUUAUAAAUAAACAUAUUAUAUCAAAAGAAUUUUUCGUAAAACAGGACAUUUCAUUAUGAUUUAAUAAAGGAAUCUUCAUGAUAUUUUAAGAAAAUAUUCUUAUUUAGAAAGGGUUGUGAAGACCUGAAAGAACCUGCAAUAAGUUACCAGAUUAAAUAUUAUUCAUUCAAAAUAUAUUUUACAGGUUGACAAAAAUAAGAACAUUUGUGAUAGAGAUUAUACAUGUAUAACCCCAGCUUCGUCAUCUGUAUAUACCAAUAAAUAAAUAAGUGGUGACGCCUUGCAAGAUAUUGACCUCAUUCAAAUAGAUUUUACAGGUUGACAAAUAUAAGAAACUUUGUGAUAGAGAUUAUACAUGUAUAACACCAGCUUCGUCAUCUGUAUAUACCAAUAAAUAAAUAAGUGGUGACGCCUUGCAAGAUAUUGACCUCAUUCAAAUAGAUUUUACAGGUUGACAAAUAUAAGAACAUUUGUGAUAGAGAUUAUACAUGUAUAACCACAGCUUCGUCAUCUGUAUAUACCAAUAAAUAAAUAAGUGGUGACGACUUGCAAGAUAUUGACCUCAUUCAUUGGAUAAUGCAGUUCACGAUUUGCUACGGGAAACACUAUAAUUAUUGUGAUACAAAUAAAAAACAAAUGGGAAAAAUUGUAUUAUAAAAACUCAUCAAAUACACCAGGCUUAUAUUGGUACACUAGAAGCACAUUUCGUCUACAUAAGACAUAUAAGUGGCUCUGGAAUCAAAACAGUUAGAAGGUUUUAUCAAAUAUGAAGUUGAAGAGCAUCAAAAUCGAAAAUUCCAAAAAGUUGUGUCAAAUAAGAGUAAGGCAAUUUAUGCGUUGGGGUAAAAUAACAAAAAUAUAGAACUCAUAAGGAAAAUUCAAAACGGAAAGUCCCUUAUCAAAUAGCAAAAUCAAAAGCUCAAACACAUCAAACGAAUAGAAAACAACUGUCUUAUUCCUGACUUGGUACAGGCAUUUCCUUAUGUAGAAAAUGAACCCUUAGUGUUUCGAAUUAUUUAACAUUUCAAAAACAGUAAAUUUAUCGAAAAUGAACAUGUCAACGAUAUUGGGUUGGCGAUACCAUCGGGGAUUAAACAAACGUUUAUAUAUCAUUUACACUGCAAUCCUGUCAGUGGUUAAUAGAAUUAACAUAAUACUCAAAGGGGCAUCAGCUACGAUUUAGACAAAAUGUGAAUAAGUAUGUUUCAAACAUUUAUAAAAACGGUUUUUAUAUAAAAUUUUAAGUCAAAUUGAUGAUCAUAAUUUUUUUGGAUAUAAGAUAUGUAUAUCUGCUGUUGUAGACAUGACAAAGACUACAUUUGCCAUAGGAUCUUCAAAAUCAUUUGAAUCAAAGCCUAACAUGAUUCAAGUAGAAGCUCUAUGGUACAACAUCUGGAAAAAUCAUUGAAAUCUAUUCAGUGGUUUUGGUGAAAUUGUCGAAACAAGAUGACUUCUCUAUUUCCACAUAUGACAAAAACAUGCUAUGUUACGGAAAACACCACAUUAUUCGGAUAAAAAAUAAAAACAAAAGAUAUACAAUGUCACUUCGUAAGCAAUAUUCAAUUGCAAUGAAUUUAUAACGAUCGGGUGUUUAGGUUGGCCAUUGAAUAAAACGGUUUGUAAAUUUCAUGGUUCAGUUCAAUGUUUGAACAGUCAUUAUCCGUUUAUAAUAUUCAUCCGCCGUUUAAAAUUUUGAACAAAGUAGAAGAGGUAGUAUAUGAGAUGAUCUACUGAGUUGAGAAGUAAGGAUCUUGAUGUUGCUGAAGAAAAAAAAUUAGCAAACCAGAAAGACGAGGAGUAGACCGAAUUCCAGACAAUAUCAUCAAGUUUGCAGACGUUAGUUAAUAUAACAAAAAUCAAAAUCAUAACAAUUAUAGAUUUAAUGACCUGUUUAUCUUAUUCCAGUCCUGCACUAGGUCAUGUUUUUCUCUUACUGUUAAUAGCGUCUUUACACUAAAUCCUUUCGAUGUUGCAAUUGUACUGAUUGAUACUUUAGCCUUAGAUACAUGAUUUUUUUAUUAGUUGUUAUUGGCUUUGAACUAGCUGUCAGUAACAGCUAGUACUCUCAGAUCUGUACUUAGUGUAUUUUUUGUUGUAGGGAUGUAUCAAUACCCUGCCACGUCCGGUCUGUGCUUUUUACUUGUCCCAGGUUAGGGGGAGGGUUGGGCACCUGCUAACAUGUUUAAUACCGCCACAUUCUGUUUGUGUCUGUCCCAAGUCAGAAGCCUGUAAUUCAGUGGUUGUCGUAUCUUGCUGUAUAUCAUAUUUGUAUUGCUUUAAUUGUUUUUUACAUAAGUUAGGCCGUUAGUUAUCUCGUUUCAAAUGUUUGACAUUUGUCAUUUCGGGGCCUUUUAUAGCUGACUAUGCGGUAUGGGUGUUGCUCAGUGUCGAAGGCCGUACGGUCAUUUGGUCUCUGGUGGAGAGUUGUCCCAUUGGCAAUUAUACCACAUCUUCUUCUUUUUAUACUAAAGUCUUUUUAAAUUUUCGUCUCGCAAUUUUAUAGAUCCUCUUUAUUAUUUCAAAUGUAUCCGUUUCAUUGAUUCUCUUGCCUGUUGCAAACUAAAUAUAUAUGAUUUUCCUUCAAACCCUAUUCCUUCUUGCUACAUAUAUUUUGCCACUUUUAUCAAAUUUUCUUGUUGUCCCUAUCAAUACAAUAUUUGUUAAUAAAAAUACAAAAUCUGUACCUUCCAGUAUGAACAAUCGUAUCUUAAAUAUACAAAACGAUUAGAAAUUAAAGAAUGUGACGCGCUGAAAUACUUUGAGUUUUAAACUUUUUGCGACGUCAAAAUUGCAAUGCAAAAACAACUACUGUAUCUAAGCAAUAAUCCUCCAUUUAAAACAUGAUUAUAUAUUAUUUUUUUUGUACACAGUUGUUUGUCUGUUGGUAGUUUUUCGUUUUUUGUCAUGGCAUUGUCAUGUCGUUUUCGACUAACGAGUUUGAUUAUCCUUUUCGUAUAUUCCGCCUCUCUAUUUAGAAUGAUUUUUUAGAUUGUUUCAAUUUUUGCAUUUAAUACGCUAGCCUGUAUAACAUCCUUUGGAAUUCGCCGAAACAAUUUAAUAAUGAAAACUGUCACUGUCCUGAACUAGCUUUGUGUAGGUUAUAACAAAACCAGUGUCUAUGGAAUGUAAUUAUUGCUGCCAACAUUUACCAUAUUAUGUCAUGUUAGUCGAGAUAUUUAAUGAUGUUAAUGUGUUUAAUCUUUUAUUUAUGUAUUAAGUAAAAUAUGUCAAACUUGC
This is a long non-coding RNA of Mytilus californianus (California mussel), 4607 nucleotides long. RefSeq lists it as uncharacterized. The transcript has 6 exons. Lineage: Eukaryota; Metazoa; Mollusca; Bivalvia; Mytilida; Mytilidae. The record is from RefSeq and is a predicted model, not a curated record.